This 35533-nucleotide long non-coding RNA is filed under the name Lactuca sativa (garden lettuce). Its description in RNAcentral is "long non-coding RNA (LSAT_LNC007995)". The record is from RNAcentral. Lineage: Eukaryota; Viridiplantae; Streptophyta; Magnoliopsida; Asterales; Asteraceae.
UCAACCUAAAUGGAAAUGAAUUCCACGAAGAGCUAUUACCCAUAGAGUUUAACGGUUUCGACAUCGUUUUGGGUAUGGACCGGCUUAGCACCAACGAUGUCGAGAUAUUAUGGCGAAAGAAGAUAGUUAGGGUAAAUCCCCCUGGAAAGGAGUCAUUUAUGGUGUACGGGGACAAACGUAGAGUGAAUUCUGGAAUCAUCUCCCUGAUGAAAGCCAGAAAAUGUUUAUCCAAAGGAUGUGCAUCAUAUUUGGCAUUUGUGAUUGAUGCUAAGAAGGAAAAAAAGGAGGUGCAAAGUAUACCGGUCAUAUGUGAUUAUCCGGAAGUCUUUCCCGAAGAUCUUCCCGGAUUACCACCUGAUAGGCAAAUGGAGUUUCGUAUAGACUUGUUACCAGGAACAACAUCGAUAGCAAAAGAACCUUACCGAUUAGCACCGACGGAGAUGAAGGAGCUUAUGACGCAACUUCAGGAGCUGUUGGACAACAGUUUCAUUCGACCUAGUUCAUCACCCUGGGGAGCUCCGAUGUUAUUCGUGAAGAAUAAGGAUGGAAGCAUGAGAAUGUGUAUAGACUACUGAGAGCUAAAUAAGGCAACGGUGAAGAAAAAGUAUCCAUUGCCGAGGAUUGACGACCUAUUCGAUCAGUUGCAAGGCUCGAGCUACUUUUCAAAGAUCAAUCUUAGGCCAGGAUAUCAUCAGCUAAAGGUGAGAGAGCAGGAUAUUGAGAAGACUGCAUUCAGAACUUGAUAUGGACACUACGAGUUCUUGGUUAUGUCAUUUGGACUAACCAAUGCUCCUGCAGCAUUCAUGGAUUUGAUGAACAGGGUUUGUAAACCAUUCAUCGAUAAAUCGGUGAUAGUGUUCAUCGACGACAUUCUGAUCUACUCGAAAAGCCAAGAGGAGCAUGGCAAGCAUCUAUGGGAAGUGUUGGAAGUGGUAAAGAAGGAGAAGCUUUACGCUAUGUAAGGUCCUGAAAACGGAUCUUACCAGUGAUCAAUAGCAAACACAAUCACAUAAACAAGAAUAAAGGUAGAGAAGCAAAUCAAACAAGCUUGCACAUGUUCUAUUGAAUUAAACGUCUGGUACAACUUGAUAUGGGGCUGUGAACAAUAAGGCAUCAACAACAAAACACGACUGACUAACCAUCUAUUUAUAGGGGACUACGACCGAGAAGAGUUUACGGUCGUAAACUCAUUACAAACCGUAAACGGCUAUUACACCUACUAACAUACUCUAUCUAAACCAAACUACUAUUACAUUGCAAAGCCUAGACCAAACCACUAACUUGGGCCCUUCAAUCUCCCCCUUGGUUUGGUGCUAGCUUGAAGUUAACCUUUAUUGACUACCAUAACGUCUGCUUGCCCCAUUGCCCCAUUCCAGAUAUGCUUGUUAAGAAUCUCAGCAACCAUAGUCGUAUACACCUUCGCAACAUCCUCAAAAGUAUCCUCCGCAACCAAAAUCUGAUAGUUGCUUAGAUGAUGGAUGUCCCACUUUCGAAAUUGCAACAAAUCCCUUCGGUUAUAGAGUUGGAUGAAACCAUUUUUGAGCUUGAUUACAAAAGCGGAAGUAAUCUCAUCAAAAACCCAACAUUCCAUAGAGCUGAGAGAUCCAUCUUGAUAAUUCUGAAGCACAGGGAAUUGUUUGACCUACUUGGUUGCGGGCUACAUCACAAACUUGCAGAGGCUUGUUAGUUUUAGGAUCAAUGAUAUCAGGAUGCUCUACUAUAACGAACUCAACAGUUUUCAUGGAAGGAAACCCUUUCUUAACUUGAUCUUUAAGGAAGUGCUUGAACUGGGUCGCCUGAGGAUUGUUUGUGAGAUUUGAGAAAGGAGCUCGUGGCAAUUCUGCCAGAUCGACCCUAGUCCAUGAACUGAAAUCAUGAAAAUCUAUGUAAAGUUUAGAGUUGCCACUUUUCCUUAGCACAAUCCACAUCUUGAGAGGAUCAUGAAAUCCCCAAGAAACAAUUCCCAAUCUAUCACCGAAAGAAUCUCUGAAUCGAACAACUUCAAGAUCAGUCACUGUAAUUGUAGGUUCAUCCUAAGAAGCAUUCUGGUUAGGGUUUCUUUUAAACAAUAUUUGCCCUUUCUUAGCUGCUUCCUCCUAUGCAUCGUGAAUUAUUGCUGAAACAUGGGGGGGGCUUGAGGAGGCUCAUCUUCAACACGAUUAACAAAUCCUGAUGUCUGACCAGUUGGAAAAGUAACUGGAAAGGCUUGAACGUGUAGAUUGAUCUUGUAUUCAUCAUCAGACGUCUGGUAUUUAACACCGAGGUCUUCCUCAAGCUUCUUCUUUAGCUCAAAAUAGCUUGAAGUCAAGAGAUUGAAGUGAUCUUGAAGAUCAGAAAUCUGUUUUGACUUUAGAGCUUUGUCCUUAGUAAGAUCAGCUACUUGCAUACCAAGCUUUGAAUUGUCAAAUUGAAGCUUAGACAAUUGAACAUUAAGCUUUGAAUUUUCAGCUUGAAGAUCCGACACAUGGAUGUCAAGCUCAGUGUUUUUCUGACUCAGCACUGAUAUCUCCUUCUGUAGCCCAUAGAUAGUUAGGUUGUCUCCUCCAGAACCGCCAUCCCCUAUAGAAACACCUUUACCGCGAGGGGAAGGCAUCAAAAAUGGCUCCUCAGCCAAAUGCAUGGCUAAUCUUACAGAAGCGUCAUCGUGAUCAGAUCGAGGAGGAGUAACCCCUGGUGGAAUAGAGGAACCAUCAACAUCAAAAGCAUUGUCUGGAUCCACAGUAAAAAGUUUGGUUGUGGUAAGACUGGGAGUAGUAGUAGGUGGUAUUGGGAGGCCGCUAACGAGACUUGCAAUUAGCUCAAUCUGCCUCGGAUCCCUUCUUCGUUUUUUCAACGGGGGUUGACCAGUCUGUGUUGUUGUAGAAUCACUCACAAAUAGCUCUGAAGUAGGAGAAACAGUAACAGGAGGAGGAAAUCCCAUAACUGUCUCCAUCGGAGUGGAAAUGUUUGCCAUUUGGUUUAAAGUAGGGGUUGCAGUUUCAAAAACUUCAUUAGACUCCCUUGUCUCUGGGUUGGAAGAACAACUUCAUCGACAUUGUUAAAGAUCAUGUCAAGAUUCUCAUUUGUCACCAAAUUAGCACUACUGGCUAGAGAAGCUGCAAUAUCAUCAUGAUCAAAAUCAGUGAGAUCAAGAUCACUAAAAGAAUCAUUUUUAUCUCCCUCAACAUUCGCUUCAAACUCCACAUUCAUUCCUUCAACAUCACCUUGAGCACGAUUAGAUAUUAAGCCAUGUUCUUCUGCCACAUGAGCAUCAGGAGUAGGAGUGUCUUCUUUUUCAGUACUUUCAUCAUCAUAUACAUCAAUAACAACGUUGUUUGGAGAUGACUUCUCAGAAGAUACAGGCUCAGAAGAAGCCUGGUCAAAUGAACCAUAAGAUUCUGCGGGUUCAUUCAGUUCAGUGAACUUUCCAAACUUUUCAAGCGGGUAUUUUCAUUGAAAAAUAACCUUUCCUUUUCGAUUCUGUUUGAUGAGUCCUACUAUGUGGGGACCCAAAGAUUUCAUAUCCAAAGUUUCACCUUCUUUUCUCACAUCCGGAAACUGAGUAUUGAUAAGCAACCGAAUAAAUCUGGGAUACAAUAAGAAAGUAUCCCGAGUUGAAGCUCGAAUGUUCACAACAAACUCAUCCAAGAUGAAUCUCGAAAAGUUAAACUUCACUCCUGCGGCGAGAGAAACAAUUGCACCGGUAUUCCUUUGAGAAAUUUCAUCUGCUCCCGAUCUUCUCCCUGAAAUGCAGCUAACGAACACGUGUGCUAAAAAUCUCCAAUACGGAUGUAAGAGCUUCUUUAAAGUUGGAGGUGAAGUGCCUUCAUAACUCAUUCUCCUUAGAAUCCUCUUAGCGUCUUCAAUCCCAAUCUCCGUAGGGAAAUUAGGUUGAUCGUCAAUCAGCAAUGUAUCUCUGAUAAAGCUUUCAUUAAUCACAAUUUCGCGUCCUUGAACUAUAGCUUUAACAGUAAAAUGACCGGCAUCAUUCAUAUCCAUGUUGGCAGUCGCCCAGAAUUCUCUAAUUAAAUUUUGGUAAACAACAGGAUUUAUUGUAAUAGCAGAUGCCAAACAGCACUGGCGAAGUCUGUGAAUCAUCGAUCGAAGAUCCGAGUGAACAGCCAGAGGAUCCACCAAGACAAUAGCAAGAUUGUGCAUAUCCACAAAUUUGAGGUUCGCCGUUACCCUGCACUUAACCAUACCAAGUAAGAAAGGAAAAAUCAAACGAACAACAAGAGUUUUAAUUUAAUUUUAAUCCUAAAAAUAACAAUAACCUUUUUUAAAAUUAGGUCAAAAUUUAAAAAAACUUUCAUUUAAAUGAAAUCUAAAUCUGCGGUCAACACUAAUUUGCGGUCAACACCACUUUGCGGUCCAAGAACAAGGUUUGCGGUCGACGAACAAGGUUUACGGUCGACGAACAAAGUUUACGGUCGACGAACAAAUCUUAUGACCAACACAUAAAAAUUGUGGUUAAUAAGGAUUUACGGUCGCAAAUCAUGGCCAGUAAACUACCGAUCAUUCGGAGUUUGCGGUCGCAAGCAUCGUGCGCCCGUAAGCUUGGGCCGCAAGCUCCGUCGCACCCUUUUUCUCGAUUUCUGCCUCGAAAACUCGGUUAAUCACACAACAAGAUAUAUAUUCCUGAUCCAGAACACAUUACCUUCGAGACUAUCAGAUUAUAUUUGCAAAAUAUGACAGAAAAAAUUUCGACAUGAGAGAGAGUGGGAGGGGUGUUUGCGGCCGGAAUCUUGAGUAUGAAGAAGAUUUCGGCGGUAAACUCCCUUUUUAUUCUCUUUUAACAUUUACCUGAUAACCACACAGUAUAAAGCAGGGUCCAACACAGUUAAAAAUUUAAAAAUAAUUCCUUUUGAGGAUUUUUACUAAAAAUAAAUUAAAAAUAAUAAAAAAAAAUUAACUAUGCAGAAUAGAAUAAAAUAAAAAUAAAAAUAAAAAACUUAAAAAAUUUUAACAGUUAAAAAAUAAAAAUAAAAUUAAAAAAAAUAAAAAAUAAAUCUAAAAUAAUUUAACUUCAACUAAAAUCUAAUCUUAAAAUUUAGCUACCGUGAAUGAAUUUGUGACGCUGGGAUCAAAGUUGUUGGACAGCCUUACUCCACUUGUCGGUACCAUUAUGUUCACAUCUUCGUCUAAUCGAUCGCCAGUAUUGUGGUCCACUUAAAAACGAAAAAUUUAUGACAAUUUUUGGACAAUUUACCAAUGAGAUGAUACAUAUACAUAUAAAUGAUUGUAAUUCCUCAUUAUCAUGAUUGACCCUAAUUCUUAAAUAAAAUUGUCUUAUGACCAUUUAACUGACUACGGCCAAUGAUAUUGUUGUCCACCUAAAUUGAGCAGCGAGAUCUACAGACAACCUGUAUGUGUUCAAUUUUAGUUGUAAUAGAACGUGUUUCCCGCUUCCUGGCAUGCCCCAGCCAUCAAGGGCUUCCAGAAUACUCCUUACACAGGGUGAGCAGACAAUUAUUAAGAGAGAAGAUAGAUUUAGAAUGCAUAUGCUGUACAUCCACGUCAGAUCUCUUCCAAUCACGCAAAGGAUGAAACAUAUGACUAACUGAAGUUUCAGAGGGAUUGAGAAGAGAAUGGUGCAUAUACUGUGUACCAGGUCGGAUUUUGAGUCACGCAAAGGAGACAGUAUAUGACUAACAGAUAGAAAGAAUUGCAUAGAUAGAAGAUGUAGAGAGAUAGAGUUACAUAUGUUACAGUCCAAGUCGGAUCUCUCGAUCACGCAGAGGAGGUAACAUAUGACUAACAAAUAGAAAGAAAGAAAAUAACCUUCCACAGACCUAAUUUAUCGGAAUUCCCCAGUCACCCCAUCCAACCGGAAUUAAGGACAGAAUCCGCACAUCGAGGAAAAGUGAAUCCACAGUUCUAGAUACGGGUUCAUUAGUGUGACCGGUAGAUUCUCAUGUAUAUCUCCCUGCUCAACCUAUCCGAGCGUCAUGAUGUCAGGCUAAACGGUUCUAACUAGGUCAAGAUUUGUCAAGUCCUUAAAUUCAUUAGGUUCAACAUUCCUUAGUCAAGUCCAUUUAAAAUCUUGUCUACCAGCGCAUUGAGCACAGAGCGUUGACAAUUCAACUUAGGUACGUUACGCAUAUUCAGAUUGCCCGUUAUCACUUGCUAAUUUCAUUUCCUAUCACAACACCUACAAGCAAAACUAUCAGCAAUAUUUUUUUUUUAAUUUUCUGGUUUUUUUAUUGUUUUUGGAUUUUUGAAAAUUUUUAUUAAUAUUUAUUUUAUUUUAUUUUUUUGAUUAUUUCUCCCCCUAAAUUUGUGCAUGGGUUAGAAUGAAAAUAAAAGAAAAUAGAAUACGAAAAUUUAACUAAGGCUACCUAAAAAAAACAAAGUUUUAAAAGAAAUAAAAAAAUGAAAGCAGAAAAAAACUUAAUCCUCAAAACGAAUCAUUUUCAGAAAUCCCACAAGCACAUCAAAACGAGUUUUGUUAAAAGGCUUAGUGAAUAGAUCCGCCACAUUAUUAGCACUGUGGACCUGUUCCACCCGGAUUAGCGAACGUUCAUAACAGUCUCUGAUGAAAUGAAUUUUAAUGUCGAUGUGCUUGAUUUUAGAAUGUUGGACUAGAUUUUUGGCAAUUUGAAUUGCGGCUUCAUUAUCACAGUAGAUAAGAGUUUCUAAAUAAUUCAAACCGUAGUCCAACAACUGAUGUUGGAUCCAGAUAACUUGAGAACAGCAGGCCGAUGCAGCAACGUAUUUCGCCUCCGCUGUGGAAGUUGAGACAGUGUGUUGCUUCUUACAUUGCCAUGAAACUAGCCUGCCACCUAGGUAUUGACACCCUCCUAAGGUUGAUUUCCUGUCAAGCUCACAGCCUCCGUAAUUACUCUCAGCAAAAGCAUAUAGAUUAAAUUCAAAAUUUUUCGGAUACCAAAGACCCAAUUUUGGGCUGCCUUUGAUAUACCGAAAAAUUCUUUUGACAACAAUAAGAUGUGAAAGUUUAGGAUUAUCCAGAUAGCGUGCGCAUUGAAAAACUGCAAACAUUAUGUCAGGUCUGCUUGCAGUAAGAUACAUCAGUGAUCCGAUCAUUGAUCGAUAGUGAGUCUGAUCUAUGGAUUUACCGUCAGGAUCUGGAGUCAGAAGAGGUUUUUCAGCCAUUGGUGUUGAAGCAGAUUUAGCGUCGUGAAACCCGAACUUCUCAAGAAUAUCCUCCACAUAAUUGGCUUGAUGUAGCAGGAUUCCGGUUGAAUUCUGUUUAACCUGAAGCCCCAAAAACAUGGUCAUUUCUCCCAACGAACUCAUACCGCUUCUUCAUUACACCUUCGAAUUCUUUGCAGAGCUGCGGACUAGUCGACCCAAAGAUAAUGUCGUCAACAUAGAUUUGCACAAGUAUCUGAUCAUUGUCGACAUGCUUGAUAGAUAGGGUCUGAUCGAUAGUGCCACGAGAGUAACCAUGCUCGAGCAAGUGUUUUGUUAGAGUUGCAUAUCACGCUCUAGGAGCUUGGUGUAACCCAUACAAUGCCUUGUCCAACUUGUAGACAUGAUUAGGAAAUUUUGAGUCAAUGAACCCAGGUGGUUGAUCAACGUAGAUUUCUUCCUUCACCUUGCAAUACAAGAAAGCAGUCUUGACGUCCAUUUGAUAAACGGUAAAGUUCAUGUAAGAAUCAUAUGCUUGGAAGAUACGAAUAGCCUCCAGGCGAGCUACUGGAGCAUAAACUUCAGUGUAAUCAAGACCCUCGACUUGUCGAAACCUGCGAACCACCAAUCGAGCUUUAUUUCGCACAAUAACCCCUGAAUCGUCCUGCUUAUUGCGAUAAACCCAUCCUGUGUCAAGAGACUUCUUGCCCUUUUGUAACUCAACUAACUUCCAAACACCGAGUUUUUCAAAUUGGUGCAGUUCUUCAUGCAUUGCAUCUACCCAGCUAGGUUCAUUUAUAGCCAUUUCAACAUUCUUGGGCUUUAUUUGAGAAAUAAAGCAAGAGUAAAGACAAGCAUUAACGUCUCCACUCUAACUUCUGGUUUUAACACCGUCACCUAGCUGACCAAUGACGUUGUCGAUCGGAUGAUCGCGUUGAAUCCUUGAAGGUAUCUCUUGGCUGAUGUCAUUGAGAGAGAUAGGAAGAGUGUGAAUGUUGAUACCUCCUUCAUUUGCUGAUUGAGCCGCUCCAGACGGCUCUGCUACAAACUCAUUUGAGAUAAGUUCAAGAAAGAGUAGUUCCAUAAAAGUUGAAGAGGCAUCGGAAGCAUCAUCAAGAGAGAACUCUUUCUCUAUAGAAAUAAGUGGUGAAGUUUCAGAAUCUGGAGUAUCAGAUUGGGCUGAAGAUUUAGGACUAUCAUGUUGCAUAGACGACUCCCCCUCGGGUAUCACAGAUGACUCCCCCUCAGGUGUAGCAGAGGACUCCCCCUCAGAUGUAGCAGAGGACUCCCCCUCAGGUGUAGCAGAGGACUCUCCCUCAGGCAUAACCUUGGACUUCCCUUUGGAUGAUGAAGAGGAUGUAUAUAGAGGUUUGUACACAACUUCUUCGUCUUCAUCUUCAGGAAUACUCUUCCAACCAGAAACAGGUCUAAAUAAGCCACUUGAAGACACAUUUAUGGAUUUGAACAACGAUGUGUAAUCAAACAACCAAUCCGGACCCACUCUAGCGUCCGUCUCAUUUUCUUCCAACCAACGCACGUCAUAAGAUUCCACAAUCUGUUUUGUCUUCUUAUUGUAGACUCUAUAGGCAGUGCGAGCAGCAUACCCUACAAAGUAACAGUCAUCGGCCUUGGCAUUAAACUUCGGGUUGGCAUCUAAGUGAAGAAGGAUACAAAGGCAGCAAAAUACACGAAAAUGACUGACCGAUGGCUUGUGACCAUAGAAUUUCAUACGGGGUCUUCAUCUGAGCUUUGUUGAUCAACACUCGAUUCUGAACGUAACAGGCAGUGUUUAUCGCCUCUGCCCAAAAGAAAACUGGUAGUUUUGAAUCACACAACAUCGUUCUUGCAACGUCUUUUAAUGUUCUGUUCCUUCUUUCAGCAACACCAUUUUGUUGGGGUGUGUGAGCAGAACUGAAUUGACACAGGAUACCCUUUUCUGCGCAAAAGUGAUCUAAUACAUAAUUCAUAAACUCUGUUCCGUUGUCGGUACGGAGCGCCUUCACCCGAUUGUUAGUUUGGUUCUUAACUAAUACAAUGAACUUCUUGAUCAAAUCAGCAACUCCAGCUUUGUUGGAUAGAAAGAAAACCCACGUAAACCGAGAGAAAUAAUCAAUCACAACCAAACAAUAAGAACUUCUGUUGAUGCUGAGAACGUUUACUAGACCAAACAAAUCCAUAUGUAGCAAUUGAAGCACCUGGCUAAUUGAGUUGACCUGUUUUGGCAGGUGUGGUUUUCUAUGAUGCUUUCUUGUGCACAUGACACAAAUUUUUCAAACGUGAUGAAAUCUUUGACAAGAAAUCCAUGGACCAUCUCAUUUUUCGCAAGACGAUUCAGAUUCUUGGCAUUAGCAUGACCUAGUCUUCUGUGCCACAACAUUGCAGUUUGUUCGGAGAUCUUGGAGAAAAGGCACGUAACCUGUUCUGGAAAAUUGCUAUUCAUAUCAAUGAUAUAGGCAUUUCCAUCCCUUUUAGAUUUUACAAGAAUCCACUCUUUUGGGAUGACAAAGCCUGGCUUGAGAAUCAUGCAUUCCUUAUCAGUGAAAUGAGUAGAAUAGCCCUUGUCACAAAUCUGAGAAACACUUAACAAACUAUGCUUCAGCUCGGGAGCAAAAUUAACGUUCUCGAAACUUAAAACCCCAUUUGAGACAGUUCCUCUUUGAGUGAUUUUGCCACCUUCUCCACCCGCAAAGGAGUUGUAUCCCCCAUUAAAUGAUUCAAUGUUGUGCAGUUAGGCGAUAUCUCCUAUCAUAUGCCGGGAACAGCCGCUGUCGACAAACCAGGGUUUGACGACAUUCCCUCGCAACUGUCCCUGCAAAAUGUGCGGGUUUAAUUAGAUUUGGGAACCCAGGUCAUUACCUUCCUGGGUGGUCCCGAUGCCUUUUCAGAUUGAUAAUUUUCGGAUUUCUCAAAGGACACAAAUGAUGAAUUGGAAGCCAGUUUGGGCAACCAUUGAUAAUUGGGUUUUCUAAUAGUCCUGAUUGACUUUGAAAUUGAGUGUUUAUCAGUUUGCUUGAAGCCUGUGGGCUUUCUACCAGAGUUGGUUGAAGACCCAUUGCUGCUUCUUGACGAAUUCGACCUUGGCUUGGUCGUACUCGGUUUUGGCAAACUGCCUGGGACUUUGCGAUGAGAAACCCUUUUAUGUUUUUGAAAAACAACCCGUUUUCUACUCCGAUCAGUUUUCCAAUCAUCAUUUCGGGAAUGAAUUCUAGAGGACUUUCUAUUUAAAGACCUUCCUCUGAAUUCGUUCUCUCCUCUUGGAAGAUCGAAAUGUACAAACAUACGAUUUUGACAAUUUCUAGCUAUAUGACCGCCAGUACCACAAUUAAAACAAAUAUGUUUGUUAUUGUUAUAACUUGUACUACAUUGACCAGAUUUGCUUUCCAUACUAACACCCUUGCUUCUCUCACAAGAACAAGAAUCAUUAUUAGGUUGUGAGGCAAGUGAGGGUAUAUUAGAUGGAGAAGAUUGUGAGACUAGUGGUGUUUUAACAUUUUCAUUACAAACACCAAAAUUGCCAAUCACAUUAUUUAAGACAGUAUCAGACACUUGAAAACCAUUCAAAACAGUAUCAGAAGAAACAAAAACAUCACAAAAACCAUUGUCACUUAAAACAUUAGAGAAAACAUUGUCUUUAUUAAAAACUAAAACUUUAGGUUGGGACUCAGUUUUAUUUUCAAAAACAGAUCCUUCAACUUCGUGCUUUAACUGAUUCAAGGAUUGAUCUGUAGGAGAAGUAGAAAUGUUAGUAUUUUCAACAUUAAUAAAUCCUCCCAAAAAAAAACCAGAUGGCUUGCCAUAAACCAUGAAUGAUUCAUUGGCAAUCUCUUCUUUGCUCAAAGGUUUAGGUUGAUAUGAAUGAUUGAAAGGGGGAGGCACAUGGUUGUAUCCUAGACCGUUUGAUUGAUUUUGUUUAAAUUGCAUGCAGUGGUCUAUCACAUUAACAGCUACCUCACUCGAUACAUCAUAUUUUCUGAAAUCAAAAUCAGCAGUUUCAAAUUUUCCUUUUAAUGAUUCAAUUUCAGUCACUAGUUCAGAGUUGUGUUUCUUUAAAUAAUCGUAAUUUUCGCAUUUAUUACUAUAGUCCUCCUGAAGUCUCCUAAAUUCCUUUAUUUUAGACUGGUUUGACGUCAACAGUUCUUCCUUGUUCCGACAAAGAGUGUGUUUCCUUAUUCUUUUUGAUCCUUGCCGGAUGUGCUUGACCUAGUAUAUCUAUUAUCAGGGAUAGUGAACAUGAUAGAGAGUGAGUGAGCGGCGAAUUCAAAACUUGUGGGGCCCUAUCUAUUCCAUCUCUCGAGCCCCGAAGAAAUUGCCCUAUGAAGACUCGCUUUCGCUACGGCUCCGGUGGGUUCCCUUAACUAAGCCACUGCCUAUGAGUCGCCGGCUCAUUCUUCAACAGGCACGCGGUCAGAGCCCCGGGCUCAAUACUUGUACUUGCUCUGCUAUUCUGCCCCAUCCUGGCUGAGGAAGAGUUACGGGCGCGUAAAAAAAAAAUACGCUGAUGGGGGGCGGGCAUACUAUGUGUAAUGCUUCACUCAUUUACGAUAAAUAAUAAAUAAAAAGGCCAUUCCAUUUCGACAAAAGACCCACACCCAAGUUCCAUAGCUUUUGGUCCACUAUCCCGAACCUUGCAAAAAUCCUAUCUUCUACUUCUCUAUCUAAUGCCUCAAUUUUGUCAUGUAGAGAUUUAACAUAAUUAAGACAGGCUUGAGAGCAUGAGGGUAAACUUACCUCUGUUUUAUUAGGUCCAUGAGAAGAAGAUACCAUCAAUCCAUACUGCAGCUUCAUCACCUCAUCUUUAGCUGCCAUAAUUUCUGCCAGAGCAUCAUCGUUGACCUGUGCCAGGUGGGCAUUUUCUGGUCUAGAUAAGUUCAGGGCCUGCAUCUGAUCCUCCCAGUCGAACGACUGUGCAACCAUAUCCUUCUCAUUGUUUUUCUGAGCACCACUUCGAUUGUUCCCAACUGCAACUAUUGUCCUAUCGUUAUUUAAUCUUCUGUCUAGAUGUGGGCAAUCACGAGCAAAAUGCCCUGGCUCGUGGCAGUUGAAACAUCGCAGCUUUCCCUUGUUGAACCCAACUUUCUUGUCAGCACUCAUCCCCCAGUUGUUCUUUCCAGUCUUUUUGGCAAACUGUUUCGCCUUAAAAACUACCAUGGCGAUUUGCCAUGUAAUAUCCAUCUCUUCAACGUCUUCAGGGUGGAUCUGAUCAAGAUCAACAAAUGACAGUUGAGGUGGAAGCUCCUUGGCCAGGAGUGUAUUGUAGCAAUUGACAAGCCCUGAGGCAAGUGCGAGAUUUUCAUCACCCUCCUUUCCUCUUGAAGAAGAAGCCAUAUUUGAGGAUGAAAUAGCUUGACUAGGCACGAACGAUUGGUUUUGUGAGUAAGGCAUGGCUGAUGCAGAGGAAGCUGAUGGAUUGGGAAAAUUCUGAAUUUGAACCAUUGGAGUAGAGAAAGAUUGACCUGCAGAAGAAAGAGAAAAAGAUGAAAGAGCACCAUUAGUAGAAAUUCCAAGGUUUGCAGCUGAGUAUGAGUUCGCAUGGUUCAUUUCUCGCUGCUUGUCAUCAAUAUCACAGGCCUUGAUGACAGCCAUAACUUCAGCAAGAGAGAGAUGACUAAGAUCCUUAGUCUUCUUGAUGACAUCUACAUUCAUGUCCCAAGACUUUAGGAGAGCAUUCAGUAGCUUCUUUUUUUUAUCUCAGACUUUGUGUAGAAGAUUCCAGCUACAGUCAUUUCAGUGUUAAGAGAUGUGAACCGUUGUAGCUGUGCCUCAAGAGUUUCUCCACGAACAUAAUUGAACAUAUUAAAACGUUGUCGCAGCAUGUCUUGGCGACUCUCUCUCAUAUCUUCAUUCCCUUCAUAGACCUCAAUGAGGGCUUCCCACAAAGCCUUAGCAGAAGUGUACUCCCUGAAACCUUGAGCAAUGUCUAGAGAUAGUGCCAUGGUCAAGAUGGCCAAAGCCUUUUCUUGCUCUUCAACCUUCUUGAAGUCUUCAUCAGUGUAGUUUUCCAUCUUUUUGUCAACCACCUGGCCUGCAACAGUAGUGGUUAUUCUGACAGGAUUUCUUACUAUGCUUCUCCAGAUUUUAAAAUCCUUCAUUUUUAUGUACUGCUCGAUUCUGUACUUCCAUUCUGGGAAGCAUUCAGCUGAUAGGAGUCUAGAAAUUCGGGUGGUUGUGCCUAUGACUGAGUCCAGCUCUUGGUGAUUUUUUUGACUUUGAGAAUCCAUUUUUUUUAUUGCUUACUUAAUGUGAAAUAGAAAGCAAAUUAAUUAAAAUUUAAAUUGAGUUUCACAGUUAAAAUCCGAUUUACUGCCCAAAGUCAGUUUGCGGCCGUAAACUCUGAGUUUACAGUCGAAAAGAGAAUACGGUCACAUGAUUUCUUGUUUACGACUUAAGAACGCAGUUCACUGUUUAAGGUCGUUGAAGAGUUUGCGGCCGUAAAUAGAGAUUACGGCCGUAAGCUACAAUUUUUGCAAUUUUUCGAUGAAACCAAAAACUUUCUUGCAGAAAAACAUGAACUUUAGUCUCAAACCAAUAAAAACUCGCUCCAAAAUCGAUUGUAGAGUGCCUUUGACGCUGGUCCUACUCUGAUACUAAUUGUAAGGUCCUGAAAACGGAUCUUACCAGUGAUCGAUAGCAAACCCAAUCACAGAAACAAGAAUAAAGGUAGAGAAGCAAAUCAAACAAGCUUGCACACGUUCUAUUGAAUUAAACGUUUGGUCCAACUUGAUAUGGGGCCGUGAACAAUAAAGCAUCAACAACAAAACACGACUGACUAACCAUCUAUUUAUAGGGGACUACGACCGAGAAGAGUUUACAACCGUAAGGUGUUUACGGCCGUAAACUCAUUACAAACCGUAAACGGCUAUUACACCUACUAAUAUACUCUAUCUAAACCAAACCACUAUUACAUUGCAAAUCCUAGACCAAACCACUAACUUGGGCCCUUCACGCUAAGUUCUCCAAGUGUGAUUUUUGGAUCCGAGAAGUCCAAUUCUUGGGUCAUGUGGUUAACCAAGAAGGGAUAAUGGUUGACCUUGCAAAAAUCAAUGUUGUAAUAAAGUGGGAACGUCCAAAGAGUCCCACGGAGAUCCGAAGCUUUCUAGGAUUAGCCGGAUAUUACCGACGAUUUAUCCAAGGAUUUUCUUCGAUAGCUACUCCAUUGACAACUUUGACUCAUAAAGGAGCUACAUAUACGUGGAGUGAGAAACACGAUGAGGCAUUCGAGAAGCUAAAGAAGAAGUUAUGUGACCGAUACUUUCUCUACUUGAUGGAGUUGAAAACUUUGCGGUUUACAGUGACGCAUCUGGAGUCGGGUUGGGUUGUGUUCUGACCCAAAGAGAAAGGUGAUAGCAUACAUAUCUCGAAAAUUGAAAGAGCACGAAAAGAACUACCCCACUCACGAUUUGGAGUUGGCGGCGGUAGUAUUUGCUCUAAAGAUAUGGAGGCAUUAUCUCUACGGCACGAAGUGCAGGUUGUUCACUGAUUAUAAGAGUCUCCAGUAUCUCUUUAAUCAAAAGGAGUUGAACAUGAGGCAACGACGUUGGCUAGAACUACUCAAGGACUACGACUGUGAGAUACUUUACCACCCAGGUAAAGCCAAUGUUGUCGCAGAUGCUCUCAGUCGAAAAGUCAGUCUUGAAAGGAAAAGUCCAAGAGCGUUAAGAAUUAAAGUCGUCUCGACGAUUGUGGAAAGUAUCAAGAAAGCUCAAGAAGAAGCUUUAGAGAAAAAUGAUCGAAAGGAAGAACGUUUGGGCAAAAUGUUAGUGUUCGGUACAAACAAUCAAGGACUGAAGGUAUUCCAAGAUCGGAUUUGGGUACCUAAGACGGGAGGAAUAAGAGAUCUUUUGAUAGAAGAAGCACACAAGACCACGUACUCGAUUCAUCCCGGUAACAUUGAAAUGUAUAGGGACCUAAAACCAUACUACUGGUGGCCGACGAUGAAACGCGAUGUUGCGAAGUAUGUGGCCGAGUGUGUGACAUGUGCGAGAGUUAAGGCACAACAUCAGAAACCGUAUGGGAGUUUAGAACCUUUACCUGUACCCAUGGGUAAAUGGGAAGACAUCACCAUGGAUUUUGUGACUAAACUACCCAGGACGAAGAACGGUCACGACAUGAUUUGGGUAGUCGUGGAUCGUUUCACCAAGAGUGCACACUUCAUAGCAGCCAACGAGAAGUGGUCUAUGGAUAAGCUCGCAAAUUCUUACGUGAAGGAAAUUGUAAGACUUCACGGUGUUCCUCUUAUGAUUGUAUCAGAUCGUGAUAGUCGUUUCACGUCAAGGUUAUGGAGAAGUCUACAGGAUGAGUUAGGUACGAAGUUGUGUUUGAGUACAGCUUACCAUCCGCAGAAUGAUGGAAAGAGCUAAAGAACGAUUCAGACACUGUAGGAUAUGCUGAGAGCAUGUAACCUCGAGUUCCAGGGGAACUGGGAUGAACACUUACCUCUGGUAGAAUUUUCCUACAACAAUAGUUUUCACUCGAGCAUCAAGAUGACGCAUUAUCAAGCUUUGUACGGACAGAAGUAUUGUACGCCGUCUUGUUGGCUUGAAGUCGGAGAGAUAGUCCAUGAGACUGCUGCGAAGUUGAAAGUGAUUAGGGAAAGGAUGUUAGCAGCUCAAAAUCGUCAAAAGAGCUAUGCUGACAAGAAAAGACGACUGAUGACCUUCGAAGUUGGGGAUUCGGUUUUGCUUAAAGUCUCACCGUAGAAGGGACUUAUACGAUUCGAGAAACGAGGAAAGCUGAGUCCAAGGUUUAUUGGAUCGUUUAAAGUUCUUUAGAUGAUUGGGAACCAAGCUUACAAGAUGGAAUUUCCCGAAGAACUCGAUGGUAUUCAUAACACCUUCCAUGUGUGUUAUCUAAGGAAAUUCACGGGAGAUGUUCCCGACAUAAUUCCAAUCUCAGAGUUAAGGAUGGAUGAGAACAAAAAGCUGAUCGAAGAGCCUGAGGCAAUUGUUGACCGUAAGACUAAGAAGUUACGACGCAAGAUGGUCGACUUAGUGCUAGUCCGAUGGAAACAUUCGAAUGGACCGAAUCUCACUUGGGAAACAGAGGAUGACAUGAUGAGUCGCUAUUCACAUCUGUUUGCUGAUGCAUGAUUCCGGGACGGAAUCAUCCUAAGGGAGAGAGAAUUGUAACGCCCGGGUUUCGAGGCUAAGAAUUUUUGACAAUGUAAUAGUCUAGGUCAACUAUUGUAACUCUUUUUGAAGUAAUAAAGACGAAAUAUUUGAGUAUUAUGUGAAUUAAGUGUAUUUAUGUGCUUAUUAUUUAAUUAUACAUGUAUAAUUUAAAAAGAAUAAAAAUAAGCGUCAAAAUUAAAGUGUGAGAUAAGCCCGAUAUCUUUAUAUAAAGUUGUAGUGGUCAAAACAAGGGUUCUGGGGAUAUAAAGAAUGCCGAAAUCCGAGUUAUAACGAAGAAGUUAUGACCCGUCGAAGUUUCGCGACGGAACUGACACGAUACCGGAAAGCGUAAAUAGUGAAUUUACGAUAGAGUGAGAUUUAGCCUUAGUGAUCUAAACAAAAGUCGUAGAAUACGUUAAACCGAGAGCGUCCAUAAAAAGAACGCCCAAAUCUGACUUCGUAUGAGGAAGUUAUGAUUUUUCGAAAUUUCGGAUUAGCAGUGUACAACCCGAAAUUUGAAUAUUAGAUCGAGCGGUUUUUAGCCGACACAACCUAAACGCGAAUCGAAGAUCUCGUUAUUUGUAGCAUAACGAGAAAAAGAUGGGCAAAAACGGACGUCGGAUGAAGAAGUUACGAGAAUUUAACGGACCAAUCAUGUCUCGGCCUGUUAAUAAUAUAACUUUUAAAAUAGAGUCAAAAUUAGCCAACGGAGUCUAAACAAAAGUUGUAGAGUACGUUCCCACCUUCGCGUGGAUAUAAAGACCGUCGAAAAUGGAGCUCAUAUGCGAUAGUUACAAAUUCUUAGAGAUUGCAUUCGAAUUUGCAAAGCCUGUUGCUCAAUCGAUGACGUGGCAAGAUCAUAGCCGUCGCUUGCGGCCCACGGUCUCGCUUCGGAUAAAGGACACGCCACCCCUUGCCUACUCCCCGUGUCCGAGGAAGAGUAUGCCCCGUGUACUUUGGUUCUUAUCCACUCCAAGAUCAGUCCACGUGCAAAGACAACUGGACGCCUCAUCCGAAGUUAUGCCCAGCGUAACCAUUUCCAAAUGCAGCGCGUAGCCAGCAGCCUCCGACCUAUAAAAGGGCUGCGAGGGCUGCCAUAAUUUCUCACAAAUUCACCAUAACUUUCUCUCUCUGCAUUCUAUCAUUACCCCCAAACCCUCCCUUAUGCCUAGGUGAUCCCCUAGCACCCUAAGGAAGCCCCGAGGCUCACGGAGUCCCGAGAAAAAGGGUCUUUCGGUUUCAGAAACGCUGCUCCGAGCAAAGCCCGGUUUUCUUUAAAAUAUGCUAUAAGUGAGCUACGCUUACGCAAUUUUUAAUAUAGCUUUCAAAUAAUUAUAGUAAUGUUAUUAGGUCCUUAAAAUAAUUAUUUGGGCUAUUAUUAUGAGUUAUAAUUGAGUGUUAUUUAACGCUUAUAUAAUAAUAAUAAUAGCUAGACUAUUAGUUAGUCGCGGUUGACGUUAGACUAAACCCUAGUGGUAUUGAUACUAGGUUUUAUCGAAGGAAAAUUGUUUCAAGAGUAUCGAAGCGUUAUCCGAGUGCUGAGUCACCACCUUUCAAGUGAGUGCAUUGUUACUUUCAGCUUACACAUAGAUAUGAAGUAUUUUAUAUAAAUUACGUGUUAUAUGUGCAUACUAUCUGAAUACUUGCUAUCUAUGCUAGAUGAACGUUUUUAUACAUGUUUUCAAUGAUUUAAAUUGUAUAUGUAUUUUAUAUCUACAAAAUGCGUUGGGUAAAACAUGGGUAUAUGUAAUAGUUGUUGUGUGACAAAAUAAAAUAAUGAGAGGCCUCGUUUUAGAUGUUAUUGAUGAUCCGGUCAUCUAGCGGAGUAUAGAUGACGACUAUGGACUAUUCUAGACAGUCCAGUGGAACACUAGCAGACUCGCAACCUGUAGGUGUUUAUUUGAACUGUGUGUUUAUUUGAACUGUGUGCUCACCAGGUGUACUCCAUCCCCCACAUGGUUUCCUUAAGGACAUUUAUUGCUGAGGAAUCCCCUUAGCGGUAGUGUCCAUCCCGAUGAUAGUCCUUAGACUAUCUCCCUUGUGUUAGAUGUCUUAGGGACGUAAAGUGAGGAUAACGGGAAUGGGUAAUAGGGUUUGUUUGGUUUGAUAAAGUUAAUAAACUUAUUUAUUGUGGGUUGAAAACCCUAUGUGCUCACCAGGCUCCCAAGCCUGACCCACUCAGUUUCUUGUAUUACAGGUAGUGGCGUAUGAGCAUAGAUGUGAUGUCUUGGGAUAAGAGAUUAAGGGAUUUUAGGCCUGUAAAUACAGAAUAAUGUAGUAAGGCCUAUGAUGUAUUGUUUAUGCUUAUGAUAUGUAUCGAACAUGACAUCCCGAAUCUUUUUAAUGAAAUACAUUUCUAUGGAAAUGCUUUUGAUAAAUCUUUAUCAUAUUUUGUUUUGGGACAAAUUCCGCAACACUUUUAAUUAAAAUGUUAUUCUGAUUAUUAAACAAAGCAUAAACAAAAUCGGUCUUUUCUGGCCAUGAAAAUCGGGAUUUCACAGUUGGUAUCAGAGCAUUAGUUUAAGCGAACUAGGAAUUUGUAGGAUUUCUAGACUUAAACUUAGAAUGCUAAGCGAUGAUUGUGAGGUGUGAGCACUAGCUUAUUUUAGGAAUUAUGCCUAAAAUGCUUUUAUGUGCUAAAUGCUUUGUGCAUGAUAUGCUGUUAUUUGUUCGGAUCUAUGGUCUGUUGCCGACCGGAUCUGGAAACCUUAUGUGUUUAGGAUUCUAAACGUACGACUACGAUAUUAGAACUAGCAUGUAAACGUUUCGGAGAGAUAAGGAUGAUUUGAACAUCAGUCCUAAAUAAAGAUCUAAAUUCACCUUAUUCGGUGUAUAGAUCAAGAUGGCAAGGACCCGUAGCGGAAACAUGAAUGCAAAUGGGAACAUAAACCAACCCCCAGUGAUUGAGCAAAUACUGGUUGUGGAACUAGAACGCGCCAUUUAGAUAAGUGAUCAUAUAAUCCUCUGUUCUAGAUAUCAGCCAGAAAAAUACAUGGAACAUGGUCUUACUUGUUGUCUAGCAUUUGUUUCUCGAUUUCCGAUUUGUUUGACAUAGAACUUAACUGAACACAUCAAUUUAGUUCUGACCGGGCCCGGUACAUAGGUCAAAACACAAUCAUCGAGGGGUCCAGAUAUCAGCUUCUAAUCGAAGAAGGAACAGAUAAACUUCGACUCAUAUGUUUGUUCUACCACUCAUUGAAUCAUACACAAAGGCACGUUUUAUAACAUCGAGUUACCAAUGCGUUUUCGUACAAUCAAUGCAUAACCAACUCGUAAGUAACAAAUCAUAUCUCUAGGUUUGAAGACUUAUAUGAUAUUACCGUCUCACGAUCACUCGAGAUAAAAUUCCAUGAAGUGAUUCCAGUGAGCGUGGGUUGAGUCCAAUGCUCAGAACUUAUGAGCACUCAUGAUUGUUGUAGCCUUGUCCAACACCUUAGACCUCUGCAACCAAUCAUGACAGUCUUGAUUCAUACCUACUUCCGACAUAUGACCGACUGUGGAGGUUUGAAUAAUAUGAUAUACCAAACAUAAUUAUUCUGGAAGUCAAAACAUGCAAAAGAAAUAUAGUAAACGAUUGACAAGAGAUAGCAACACUUUACUCAUAAAUAAAACACUUUUUAUUCAUCAUCUAAUGUCAAUUACACUUUACAAAUUUCAAGGUUAUCUAACUACUAAAACUUAUAUCAUCCUUCAGCCCUAUGCUCCGAGCAUGCUGGAGAUGCUUAACCCUACUCAGUCCCUUCGUGAGGGGAUCUGCUGGGUUCUCAUCCGAUGAUACCCUCUUUGCCACGAGGAGUCCUUCUUCGAUCCGAUGUCUGAUAAAAUGGUAUUUUCUGUCGAUGUGUCUGGAUCUCCCGUGAUCCCUUGGUUCCUUGGCUAAGGCAACAGCACUUUCACUAUCACAGAAAAUUUCCAUUGGCUCUUUAAUAGCUGGUACAACUCCAAGGUCUCCAAUGAAGUUCUUCAGCCAUAUCGCCUCCUUUGCUGCUUCACUAGCUGCAAUAUACUCUGAUUCACAAGUAGAAUCUGCCACUGUCUCUUGCUUGGAACUCUUCCAAGAAAUUGCUCCUCCGUUUAGGGUAAAGACCCAGCCCGACUGAGAGCGGAAAUUAUCCCUAUCAGUCUGGAAGCUAGCAUCACUAUACCCUACAACUCUCAAGUCAUCACUCCCACCGAGGGUAAGGACCCAGUCCUUAGUCCUCCGUAGGUACUUGAGGAUAUUCUUUACCGCAGUCCAGUGUGCCUUGCCAGGGUUCGCCUGAUACCUGCUAACCAUGCUCAAGGCAAAAGCUACAUCGGGUCGAGUACACGUCAUAGCAUACAUGAUCGAUCCUACAGCCGAAGCGUAAGGUGUUCGACUCAUUUCUGCUAUCUCAGCCUCAGUGCUAGGGCUUUGUGUCUUACUCAAUCUGGUGUUACUCUGGAUGGGUAACUCUCCUUUCUUGGAAUCCUGCAUGCUGAAUCUCUUCAGCACCUUAUCCAAGUAGGUACUCUGACUAAGUCCAAUUAGUCUUUUACUCCGAUCUCUCAAGAUUCUUAUCCCUAGAAUAUAGGCAGCUUCACCAAGGUCCUUCAUAGCGAAACACUUCCCAAGCCAGGACUUUACUUCCUGCAGGGUUGGAAUGUCGUUUCCUAUGAGUAGUAUGUCAUCCACAUACAAUACCAAAAAGCUAACUAUACUCCCACUAGCCUUGACAUACACACAAGAUUCAUCUUCACUCCUAGAAAAGCCAAAUUCCUUGACCUUUUCAUCAAAGCAAAGAUUCCAUCUGCGAGGUGCUUGCUUCAAUCCAUAAAUGGAUUUCUCAAGCUUACACACUCUAUUAGGGUACUCGUUGCUGACAAAACCCUCUGGCUGACUCAUGUAAACAUCUUCAGCCAACUUUCCAUUAAGGAAAGCGGUUUUGACAUCCAUCUGCCAUAUUUCAUAGUCAUGAAAUGCAGCUAUGGCUAACAGAACCCGAAUAGACUUAAUCUUGGCUACCGGAGAAAAGGUCUCAUCAUAAUCCACUCCAGGAAUUUGAGAGAAGCCCUUUGCAACCAGUCUAGCCUUAUAAGUGUGUACUUUACCAUCCAUGUCGGUCUUCUUCUUGAAGACCCAUUUGCACCCUACUGUCUUACGACCUGGUACAUUUUCAACCAAGUUCCAAACUUGAUUGUCAUACAUGGAUUGUAUCUCGCUAUCCAUAGCCUCUUUCCAUUUAGCAGACUCGGGGCCUGCCAUGGCUUCCUCGUAGCUGUUAGGGUCAUCUUGACUUACUAGUGUCUCAUCACUAAUAAGUGUCUCACCUUCUGCAGUAAUAUGGAAUCCAUAGUAAUGCUCAGGUGCACUCCUAACUCUCGUGGAACGUCUCAGAGGUACAGAUUUGUCAAUUGGCUCAACAGGAGUUUCCUCCUCAAGUUGAGGGCUAGAGUUUGAAGUUCCUUCACCGCUUGAUUCUUGAAUUUCUUCAAGAUCAAUUUGCCUCCCACUGUCUCCUUGGCUUAUAAACUCUCUUUCUCGAAAGACUCCUCUUCUUGCUACAAAGACCACAUUGUCACUAGGUCUGUAGAAGAGGUAACCAAAGGAUCGCUGUGGGUAACCGAUGAAAAUACACCUCUCGCUUCGAGGUUCGAGCUUAUCAUGAGUCUCGCGUCUCACGAAAGCCUCGCAACCCCAAAUCUUGAUGUGGUCUAGUUUAGGUACUUUACCAGUCCACAUCUCGUGAGGAGUUUUGGCAACUUUCUUUGUAGGGACUAGAUUAAGAAUAUGGGCGGCAGUCUCUAAGGCAUACCCCCAGAAUGAGAUUGGUAGCGUAGCUCGACUCAUCAUGGAACGAACCAUAUCUAACAAGGUUCGAUUACGCCUCUCAGCCACACCAUUCAACUGUGGUGUCCUGGGAGGUGUCAAUUGUGAGACUAUCCCACAUUCCCUUAGAUAGUCGAGGAACUCUGAACUAAGAUACUCACCACCACGAUCGGAUCGAAGCAUCUUAAUGUUCCUGCCCAAUUGAUUCUCGACUUCCUGUUUAAAUUCCUUAAACCUCUCGAAAGUCUCUGACUUAUGCUUGAUCAAGUAGACAUAUCCAUAUCUACUAUAAUCAUCAGUAAAAGUCAAAUAAUAACGAUUAGCAUCCCUUGUGGCAUGUUUGAAUGGUCCACACACAUCCGUGUGUAUAAGGUCCAACAAACCUUCACCCCUCUCACACGAACCUGUGAAGGGUGACUUUGUCAUUUUUCCAAGUAAGCAUGAUUCGCAACUAUCAUCUGACUUUAGGUCAAACGACUCCAAGACUCCAUCCUUUUGGAGUUGGCCUAUGCGUUUCUUGCUUAUAUGUCCAAGACGACAAUGCCAUAAAGAUGCUUUAUCCAAGUUAUUAUUAGUAGAAUCAAUACACAAAACAUUAUUUCCCAAGUUAUCUACAACAGAUACAGCUUCAUACACACCAUCACAAGGUAAUGCUUUAAAAUAAAAGACAUUAUUAUAGAAAACAUCUAUAGAACCAACUUCAUUAUUAAAUGAAAAGGUAAACCCUUGUUUGUACAAAGCAUGAAAGGAAAUAAUAUUUCUUGCCAUUCCUGGCGAAUAACAACACUUAUUCAAAUCUAAACUAAACCCACUACUUAGCGAUAAAGUAUAAACUCCAAUCUUGGUAACAGGUAUAGCUUUCCUAUUCCCCAUGAUCAAGUUUAUCCUUCCUUGCUCCACAUCCUCACUUCUUCUUAGUCCCUGCAAGUCACAACAAAUGUGAAUACCACACCCGGUAUCAAGGACCCAAGAAUUAGAAUGGGGUGAGUUAUUAGAAAUGAUAGUGUAAAUACCUGCAUGGUUGGGUUUAACUUUCCCAUCCUUCACAUCUUGCUGGUAUUUUGGGCAGUUCCGCUUCCAAUGAGCUUUUUCAUGGCAAUAGAAGCAUUCAGCCUCUUUUGGGUCAGAAGAAGGAGUAACGAAACCUUUCUUGGUUCCACUUGAAGAAGAGCCAUCAAGGGUCCGAGCCUUGGUACCCUUAGAAGAGCUCUUUCUCUUCCUCCCUCGACUUUUCCCGAUUGCCAAAACCGGAGUAGAGUUUUGAGUAGGAGUGAUAGCAACCGACUUCCCCUUAAGACCUGUUUCUGCGGUCUUGAGAAGUCCCUGAAGUUUGCUGAGGGUGACUUCUUCCUUGUUCAUGUGAUAUGUCAUGCGGAAUUGAUCAUAGCACGAUGGUAAGGAAUGCAAAAUAAUAUCUAUUGCAAGAUCCUCCGGGAAGUUCACAUUAAGCUUCAGCAAACGAUCCACAUACCUUUGCAUUUUCUGCAUGUGGCUCGUGACGGAUUCCCCGUCCUUCAUCAUGGUUGUUAUCAUGGAGCAGAUGAUUUCAUACCUCUCUUGUCUUGCACUUUGAUGGUAUCUUUCCAUCAAAUCUUGGUGCAUGUCAUAAGGGUAGAAAUCCUCAUAAGACUUUUGGAGUUCCGCUGUCAUCGUGGCCAUCAUGAUGCAAGCCACUUUCGUAGCAUCCCUUUCAUGUGCCCGAAAUUCAGCGAUCUCCUGAGGAGUUGCAGUGGACUCAUCAAUCUCCUUAAGCUCCUUGUCAAGGACAUAUUCUUUGUCCUCGUAGCGGGUAAUCAUCCUGAUGUUUCUGAUCCACUCAUUGAAGUUGGAUCCAUCAAAGGUGACUUUCCCACACAAGUUCAUAAGGGUAAAGGAGCCAUUAGGAUUAGAGCCAGAAGCAUUGUUGAAAGACAUCUGAAGGAAAGAGGACAAGAUUAGUUUAGAUAUAAGAGAGUCCUUAAUAAAACACCCAAAUGUAAUAUUAAGGCUAGGAUCCAAUCACAAUAUAAUAUAACUUAGAAGAGGUAUGCCGUAAUCUAAGCUAUAUCAUAUUUGAAAGGUAGGUGAAUGACGAUUCACCAAUUUCCACCACGAAAACCGCAAUAUUUUAGUAUUAGGUUUUUGAAUGGUUCUUAGAAAUUCCUAGAUUCUUUGAGAUUCAAUGAACUUUUCAAAGGCAUGUUUCAAUCUCGAGUGUGCCCUCCAAGUUUUGUGACUGGGAUACCGAGGAUCACAAAACGAGGUGUGAAGUAACCAUGCAAAUCACUUGGUACCCUUAAAGUUUAUCACUCAAUCGAUGUGCCGGUUAACCACACACGCUCCAUCGAUACUAUAAUAAACCCUAAGUCACCCUUUACCUACCUUGUUAAGUCCAAGUUAGUGUGCCGGUUAACCACACACGCUCCACCAACGACUUAAUCAAAGUGUAAAGUGUAAUUUCAUGGAAUAGCACCUUAUUCACAUUUUUCCUAAAGUAACUAAGAUUGGGAAUUUAAUAAAACAUUUAGUUACUUUAUAAUAUUCAUCAUACUUUGAAUGAGAAUUAAUAAGUCCUUGUCUUACCCGUUCGGCUAACGACCCUCCACCGAUCAAGCAAGCGGUGGGUGAGAGUGGACACCCAUUAAGUCACCAUUUUAUAGGCAACAACCUUAUACCCACCUUAUAGACCGGCUUCGUGAAUGAGGCGUACUAGCGGUAAGACGACUUUGUUCUUAUACAUAUAUAUAUAAUUAUUAAAUCAUAAUAAUAUAAGUAUAAGGGUUGAAUUUUAACUUUUAAAAUUCUAAGGGAUGGAACUAAAGUUUUAAUAUGACUUUACAUUUUCCAAAAACUUGUGGGCAAGCUCUGUAAACUUUCAAAAAAUUUUCAUUUCUUGUAACUUAUGAGUUUAAUAGAGUAAUAAAAUGAAGACUUUUCAUUUUUCUAAGUCUUGUGUUCUUUUAAUGGUUUUUUAAUCCAAGAGACUUUUGGUUUUCCAUAACUUGAGGACAAGUUAUGGACUCCAUUAAAACACAUUAUGAUCAUGAAUUAAUCUACCACAUAGGUUACAAAUAAUUCCUAUGAUCAUCUAAACAUCAUAAGAACAAGAAUAUGAAUAUGAACACUUUCAAGAAUCAAAAUCACAUUUAAUCUUUGUAAUUUUGAUAACUAGUUGUUGUAAAUGAGUUAGAAAAGACAUUACACCUUCUAAAAUAAGUUUUCAAGUACCAAAACAUUUUAGGGUAAUGAUUCUAAUCCAUUUCCAGCAACUCAAGUCGAAAUUCUGCACUCUGUCGACCCUACUCGCCGAGUGCAUAAACCUACUCGCCGAGUAGGUUGAAGAUACACAUGAACUCGACGAGUCCUCCCCAUGGACUCGCCGAGUCCAUCAGUCAGACAGCAAAAUUUUCGACUUUCUUCAACUUUUAAGCACAAAUAACAAACAAACAAGCCUAGGCUCUGAUACCACUGAUGGGUUUUGAGCAUUCUAACACUUCCUAAGUGUACAUGCAACCCUAAUAACCUUGGAUCUAUGUUUGUCUAANUGUAGUUGAUUCCUUGGAGUUUUAGAGCCUAGCACCAAUAGUGUGGAUGCCUCAAAUGGAAAUCACAAAUCACCACAAACUUGGAACUUUGAGAGAAUAGUCACUACUAUCUUGAAAUCGGCCCUCACCUCAACAAGUGUCAACUAGUAUGAUUUCAAGAACCAAAGCCUCCUUUAUAUAGUGUGAUGGAUUAGGGUUACAUCCAUGUAAACCCUAAUACCCAUGUCUCUUCAUUUCCAUGAGAUCCAUGGGUUAAAGCUCCAUGGAGUAUCCAUGGACUUUUCCAUGCAAGCCUAGCCCAUUCCAAAUAAGCAUUAGCCCACACUAUAUAAAUAUAGAAGCCCAUAUUUAAUUAGUAAUAUCUUUGAUCUCUAAAUUAAUCCUAGAUUAAUUAUAGAUCAAUACUAAUUAAAUAAUAUGAUCUUAUAUUAAUAUAUUAGAACUUAUAAUAUAUUAAUAAAUCAUAACCUGUACUAUUCUCAAAUAUUAUCCAUAAAUUGUUCGGGUGAAGUGCAACCCAAAUGGACCAUGCCGGGUCGGGUCAAGUACAUACCAAAUAUAGUUAUGGACUUAGACACUAUAUCCAACAGUUUAUUUGAACUGUGUGCUCACCAGGUGUACUCCAUCCCCCACAUGGUUGCCUUAAGGACAUUUAUUGCUGAGGAAUCCCCUUAGCGGUAGUGUCCAUCCCGUCCCUUGUGUUGGAUGUCUUAGGGAUGUAAAGUGAGGAUAACGGGAAUGGGUAAUCGAGUUUGUUUGAUUUGAUAAAGUUAAUAAACUUAUUUAUUGUGGGUUGAAAACCCUAUGUGCUCACCAGGCUCCCAAGCCUGACCCACUCAGUUUCUUAUAUUACAGGUAGUGGCACAUGAGCAUAAAUGUGAUGUCUUGGGAUGAGAGAUUAAGGGAUUUUAGGCCUGUAAAUACAGAAUAAUGUAGUAAGGCCUAUGAGGUAUUGUUUAUGCUUAUGAUCUGUAUCGACCAUGACAUCCCAGUCUUUUUAAUGAAAUACAUUUCUAUGGAAAUGCUUUUGAUAAAUCUUUAUCAUAUUUUGUUUUGGGACAAAUUCCGCAGCACUUUUAAUUAAAAUGUUACUCUGAUUUUUAAACAAAGCAUAAACAAAAUCGGUCUUUUCUGGCCAUGAAAAUGGGGAUGUCACAAGCACGAAGUUUCCUACGAUCAUAGGAGGGCCAAAAAAAUCUUUGUUUUCUUGAUGUUCAACUCAAGACCCACGCUUGGACCAUUCAAACGAAUAAUGUUCUACACUCUAGCCACUUCCUCUGAAUCCCCAAUGACAGUCACAUCAUGUAUAUACCAAACAUGGAGAAAAAGCUUACAAUUAUCUCUAAUCUUUUGCACAAGUGGGUGCAAAAUAAGGGCAAACAAAAGAGGGUCCAAGGGGUCGCCUUGCUGCAACCCAGUGUCAGACAAAAUAUGUUGGUCUCCGAUAUAGAUUCUUGUUGCUUGCUCAUACAAGAAAUUCACCCACAAAGAAAUAGAAGUGCACAUCCUCUUAACCUCGUGGAGCAAUGCUGAUCUAUCCAUCAGGUUAAAGGCAUUCGAGAAAUCCAUUGUCAGCAUUACAAGAAACCCAUCAGUAUGGUGUUUACUCAACACCCUAUUGACACUGUGUAACAUAGCCUCAGCACCCCCGGACACACCAACCUCAAACUAAAAAUCAUUAAGGUACUUGAUCAUUUCUUUACCCACACCUUUCAUAGCAACCUUGGAAACCAGACGUCUUCAUAUAGUGCCUACUGCAAUCGGACGGAUCCCGUUGUCAGGUUUAAGUAGAGUCGUUAGAGGUGAUUUCGAGUUAAGACAGACACAAAAAGGAUGAAGUAGAAAAAGCUCCACAAUCUUUAAUGCUAUAUAUUUGGUAAAACACAAUAACACUGGUGACUUUCUUUAAUUUGCUAAAAAAAAUGGGAAGUUGUGAAAGUUACAACAUAUUAACACAUUAAACAUGGGUUGUCGAAGUGUUAAAGGAAAAGUUGAAUAUUAUGGAACCAUUAUCAAGGGUAGAGAAGGGGGUGCAACAUUCAUAAUUUAAUUGGUUUAGUACAUUACAUUUAAUCGGAUAAUAUGUAUAAAUUUGGACUUUGAACUACAACCAAGGCUCUUACAAGGAUUUUCCUUUUAGGAAUUUAUUGGGAUUCCGUACAUUAGCAUGGUGUUAUGAUAUUUAAAAAAAAAAAAAUUAAAGUUCGUUAGAAUUUUGCUCCAUGUGAGUUUGGUAGUCGGUGUCUAAUCACGACCAACGUAUAGAAAACUAAGUGACAUGCACAAGUGAACACGGGCACACAUAUGUUAAUUUUGAAAAUAAUUCAACGGUAUAAUUAAAAUCAAGAAAUUACGAAACACAAAUAACACAAAUAUUUAUAUAUGAAAUACUUUUUUUUUUUGGCAUAAAACAACAUAUUUUACUUAUUUAUAUUUAUAAAAAAUUUACAUACAUAUUAAAACAUUACAUUAUUUAAAAAAAAUAAUAAUAAACAAAUCAAUAUUUUUCUUUUCUUCUUCAAAACAUCCUAAAACCUCUUAUAUAGACUCAAUAAGAACAUUGUCAUUUAUAACGUCCCAAAUUACAAAGGAGAUUUUUCAUUUAAAAUAAGUUAAUUGUUUGUGAUUUUAAGGUCACCAUGACAUUUUGUGUAAUUAGAACUACAUGUGAGCUAAGGGGUUUAUCGUUUGUACUAUAUAUUAUAUAUUUUGGUGAAUGCGGAGUGCAUGCAUAUAUAAGAUCGAAUUAUAAGUUGGUACGAUAAAAACGCAGGUUUGGGGGCAGCGCUCCAAGAAGGUCUUCAGAAAUUUGAAUUAAUUACAUUAUGGAAAAACCGAAUUCUAAUGGAAUUUUGUCGUAAAUUUGAUAAAUUUUAUCAAUUUUGGUAAACAUUGAUUAUGACAUUAAAUUCGUGAUUCUCCUAACUAAUUUAGAAGAUGGGUAAUUAUGGUAAAUUAACAAAUCUCAUCAAUUUUGAUAACCAUUGAUUUCCUCAUUAAUUUUGGAUUUGUUUCCACAUUAAUUUGGAUUCUCUUGAUUUGUUUCCACAUUAAUUUGGAUUCCAUUGAUUUGUUUCCUUAUUAUUUUGGAUACCCUUGAUUUGUUUCCAAAGAAACCGAUGACGGCCAACCCUAUAUCGAAACCCUACAUUUCGUUUACUAUAUAAACGACUCUUCUCUUUGAAGGGGAUAACUCUUUUAGCUCUUGUUUCUUCAUACAAACUCAGAAUCUUCUAACAAUUUGGCUAACAUUUUUUGUGCCUAGAUUCGUAAGUGUCAUCUUGGGAUUAUCCUAGGUUGAGUUUCUUGUAACCCGGGCAUAGGGUAGAAAUAUCAAUACGGAAAGUGUUUACAUGAUCCAAGGGAUAUCCAGAUCUCCACCAUAACCCUACCCCAUUUCUAACAAUCUAACUAAUAUCUUAUGUUUCUGGAGAUGGGUGAAUCAAUCCGUGAGAUGACCAUGAAGUUCGCAAAACUGGAGAAGUUUGAAGGCAUUGAUUUUAGACGCUGGAAGAAGAAUAUGCACUUCAUGUUGAUCACUCUGAAGGCAACAUACGUGCUUACUACUCGAAAACCAUCUGAACCAGAGGAAAUUGUUGAUGAGACACUUGAACAUACUAGGAAGAGGCAAAAGUGGAACAAUGACGAUUACAUCCGCAAAGGUCACGUCUUAAACGGUAUGCUUGAUGCUUUAUUUGAUAUCCAUGGUGAUGCUUUAACUGCUAAGGACUUGUGGUACACCCUUGAAUUAAAAUACAUCACAAAGGACACUUCUAGCAAGAAGUUUCUAGUUAGUGACUUUAAUAACUUUAAUAUGGUUGAUUCAAGGUCUGCUACCGAACAAUACAAUUAGCUCCUUGAUAUUUAUGGUCAAUUUAAACCGCACAAUAUGAAUAUGGAUGAUUCCAUUGUUGUGUCAAGUGUAAUUGACAAACUUCCACCAUCUUUGAAGGAUUUCAAACAUAACCUAAAACAUCAAAAGGAGGAACUAUCAUUGGUUCAACUUGCUAGUCAUAUUCUUAUUGAAGAAUCUCAUCAUACGAAGGAAGUUGACAAAUCUGAUAAUACCAAAGGGAAAGUUGAAUCAGGAAAACCCUAUGUUCAUAUAGUUGAAAAUAAAGCUAGAAUCCUGAACCAUAAAGGACAUGGCAAACGUAAAAAGGAACAUGUCCCAAAUAACUCCAACAAAAAGAAAAAGGAACUCGUUUGUUGGAGGUGCAACAGGGUGGGGCAUUACAAGCGUGAUUGUCGUGUGAACUUAGGCAACAAUAAUAACAAUAAUGGUGUUGGAAACAGUGGAGCCAAUGGAAGUGUGAACGGGUCUUCGGGUCAAGUUAAAGGAGGUUAGUUUUUGACUAAAUUUGAUAAUUCUAAUCAGAAUUAUGUUUAUUAUGUUUCACUAAUUCCUGAAUCAUUCUAUGUACAGGAUGAUGAUGUGGCUUAGUGUAUUGACUUUAGGGCAACGAACCAUGUAUGCAAGGAUAAACGGUUGUUUGAAACAUUAACACCGCUUGAAGAUGGAUCAGUGCUGAGAAUGGCAUACGAUUCUUUUUUACCAAUUUAUGGUGUCGGUGUUUUGAGUCUUGAAUUUACUUUUGGAAAGACUAUUAGGCUUUUUGAUGUUUUGUUUGUUCCUAAGAUUCGAAAGAAUCUUGUUACUUCUAGUUGUUUGAAUUUUAUGGUUUUAAACAAGUUAUUGAUUCGAAGAAGUUCAUCUGAUCUCGAGGUGGAAUGUUUAUUGGUUUUGGAUAUUUAUAUAAAACAGAAUGUUUCGUUUGAGUAUUAUUGACAAAUUAUUACUUGUUUAAAAUUCUGCAUUUGCAUCUUCUGCUUCUAAUGUUGAUAAAUCUAUGCUUAGACAUGUAAGAUUAGGUCAUGUCAACAUUAGAAGGAUGCAUGAGAUGUCAAAAGAUGGGUUAAUUCUAGCCUUUGACAUGACUUUUGAUAAAUGUAAACCAUGUAUGCAUACAAAACUGACAAAACAACUCUUUUCUAGUGUUACUAGGCUUUCAGCUAUUUUGGAACUUGUACAAAGUGACCUGUGUGAUUUUGACUCCACUCCUUCCUUGGGAAAUAAAAAGUACGUAGUAACCUUCAUUGAUGACUACACUCGGUUUUGCUACGUGUAUUUGUUACAUUCUAAGGAUGAAGCCUUAGAUAAAUUCAAAAUAUACAAAACCGAGGUGGAAUUGCAAUUGGGGAAUCCGGUUAAGUGUCUUAGGAUUGAUAGGGGAGGUAAAUAUAUCAAUACCAUAUACUUCCAAUUAGUGGGUAUCAUUCAUGAGACCACGACACUCUACUCGCCCCAACAAAAUGGAAUUGUUGAACAUAAAAAUCGAGUUUUAAAGGAAAUGGUAAACUCGAUGUCGUCAUACUCGGGAUUGAGUAAUGGAUUCUGGGGAGAGACCAUGUUAACGACCUACUAUUUAUUAAACAAGGUUACAAGUAAAAAGAAAAAAAUUUGUCUCAUAUUGUAACACCCGGGUUUCAGGGCUAAGCAUAUUUGUCAAUGUAAUAGUCUAGUUCAACUAUUGUAACUCUUUUUGAAGUAAUAAAGAUGAAAUAUUUGAGUAUUAUGUGAAUUAUGUGUGUUUGUGUGUUUAUUAUUUAAUUAUAAGUGUAUAAUUAAUAAAUAAUAAAAAUAAGCGUCAAAAUUAAAGUGUGAGAUAAGCCCGAUAUCUCUACAUAAAGUUGUAGAAUAUGUCUCAAGGUUUCCGUGCAUAUAAGGAACGCCGAAAUCCGAGUUAUAACGAAGAAAUUAUGACCCGUCGAAGUUUUACGGCAAAACCGGCACAACACCGGGAAGCGAAAUACUGAAUUUACGAUAGAGUGAGGUUUAGCCUUAGCAAUCUAAACGAAAGUUGUAGAAUAUGUUAAACUAAGAACGUCGAUAAAAAUAACGCCCAAAUCUGACUUCGUAUGAGGAAGUUAUGAUUUUUCUAAGAUUCGGCUUAGCAGUGCACGGCCCGAAACUCGAAUUUUUGUUUGAGCGGUUUUUGGCUUACGCGACCUAAAUGAGAGUUGAAUAUCUCAUUAAUAGGAACUCAACGGUAAAAAGAUGGACGAAAACAGAGUUCGUAUGAAGGAGUUACGAAUUCUUCGCGGUCAUUUAACAGUCUAAACGCCUCUUACUGUUAAAUUUGAGAUCGGUCGAGAAUUAGCCGACGGAGUCUAAAUGAAAGUUGUAGAUCUUGUUUUUACCUACGCGUGGAAAAAAAGAACGUCGAAAACGGAGCUCGUAUGCGAAAGUUACGGGGUUUAGAAGUUGGCAGAGUGCUGCUGCAAAAGGGGUGACGUGGCUGAAUAUGGGCCAAGGCUUUCUCCCCAAGGAAAGCCAUCAGAUGAUGACACGUGGCACUGACUCGGCGAGUCAGUGAACCGACUCGGCGAGUCCGUCAGGAUUUCACCCUAUAAAUAGAAGUGCCGGGUUCUCUCAUUUCUCACACCUUUCCCCACUUCUUUCUCUCUCUACACUCUCUCUCUAAGCCUCCUUAAGCCCCCUAAAGCCUAGGUAAACCCCCUAGCACCCGAAGGAAGCCCCGAGGCUCCCGGAGUCCCGAGAAAAGAGCCUUUCGGCUCGGGAACGCUGCUCCAGCGAAGCCCGGUUUUCGAGAAAACUCGCUGUAAGUGAGCUACGCCUAACCUAUCUUUAGUUUAGCUUACGUUUUAAUAUAGUAAUGUUAUUAGGACCUUAUAAUAAGUACUUGGGCUAUUAUUAUGGGUUAUAUAAGUAUCGUUUAACGCUUAUAUAAUAAUAAUAAUAGCUAGACUAUUAAUUAAUCGCGGUUAUCGUUAGACUAAACCCUAGUGGUGUUGGUACUAGGUUUUAUCGAAGGAAUAUCGUUUUGAGAGUAUCGAAGCGCUGUCCGAGUGCUGAGUCACCACCUUUCAGGUGAGUGCAUAGUUACUUUCAGCUUACACAUAGAUAUGAAGUAUUUUAUAUAUUACGUGCUAUGUGUGCAUAUUAUCUGAUUACUUGCUAUCUAUGCUGGAUGAACGUUGUUAUACAUGUUUUCAAUGAUUUAAACUGUAUAUGUAUUUUAUAUCUACGAAAAUGUUGGGGUAAAACAUGGGUAGAUGUAAUAGGUGAUGUGUGAUAAAAUGAUGAGAGGCCUCGAUGUUGAUGUUGUUGUUUCUGUCAUCUAGCGGAGUAUGGAUGACGACCACGGACUCUUCUAGACAGUCCAGUGGAACACUAGCAGGCUCGCAACCUGUAGGUGUUUGUGAACGAUGUGUUCACCGGUGUACUCCAUCCCCCACAUGGUUGCCUUUAGGACAUUUAUUGCUGAGGAAUCCCCUUAGCAGUAGUGUCCGUCCCGAUGAUGAUCCUUAGGCUAGGUCCCUUAUGAUAGGUGUUUAGGGACGUAAAGUGAGGAUAACGGGAACGGGUAAUCGGGUUAUUGUUGAUCGAUGAAAUUAAUAAACUUAUUUAUUGUGGGUUGAAAACCCUAUGUGCUCACCAGGCUCCCAAGCCUGACCCACUCAGUUUUAUGUAUUACAGGUAGUGGCGCAUGAGCAUAGGUGUGAUGUUUUGGACGAGGGAUUACGGAUAUAGGCCUGUAGAUAUGAAAUAAUGUAGUAAGGCUUAUAUUGUACUGUUUAUGCUUUUGAUCUGUACGAACAUGACAUCCCGAGUCUUUUAAUGAAAUACAUUUCUAUGGAAAUGCUUUUGAUAAAUCUUUAUCAUAUUUUUGUUUUGGGACAAAUUCCGCAACACUUUCAUUUAAAAUGUAACUCUGAUUUUUAAACAAAGCAUAAACAAACCGGUCUUUUCUGGCCGUGAUUUUGGGGAUGUCACAGUUGGUAUCAGAGCAUUAGUUUAAGCGAACUAGGAAUUUGUAGGAUUUCUAGACUUAAACUUAGAAUGCUAAGCGAUGAUUGUGAGGUGUGAGCACUAGCUUAUUUUAGGAAUUGUGCCUAAAAUGCUUUUAUGUGCUAAAUGCUUUGUGCAUAAUAUGCUGUUAAUUGUUCGGAUCUAUGGUCUGUUGCCGACCGGAUCUGGAAACCUUAUGUGUUUAGGAUUCUAAACGUACGACUACGAUAUUAGAACUAGCAUGUAAACGUUUCGGAGUGAUAAGGACGAUUUAAAACGUCUAUCCUAAAUAAAGAUCUAAAUUCACCUUAUUCGGUGUAUAGAUCAAGAUGGCAAGGACCCGUAGCGGAAACGUGAACGCAAAUGGAGGUAGGAACCAACCCCCAGUGGUUCAGCAAAUACCUGUUGUUGAAGAAGUUGCACCUGAGCCAGUCACCAUGGCUGGAGUUCAAGCCAUGAUUCAGGCUAUGCUAGCUGAACAAAGGGAAGAAAUGAGACGGAUGCUCCACGAAAAUAGGGACGAACCUACCAUACAUGUUGAACCGACGGAGCCAGUUCCCGAGCCAUCUGAGGAAGGGAACUAUAGCCGCCAAGUGAGUCAAGUAGGGACUCAAGGUGAGCAAAAGGAUGGCCCAGAAGGGAGAAACAACAAGGAUGGGCGGAUGUACAAAAAUUUCUUGGGUGCGAAACCACCAAGUCUCUCAGGAAGCCCAAAGCCUGUUGAGAUUAUGGACUGGAUCUCCGAGAUGGAGAUGGUGUUUGAGAGCUGCGACUGCAGCGAGAAGCAGAAGACUGUCUUCGCUGUGAGACAAUUGAAAACUGGAGUCUUGAGCUGGUGGAAGCUAUUGGCAGAUACAAUGCCACGGGGAGAAGCUCUGAAAAUGUCAUGGGAUGAGUUCUUGGAACAACUGAAGGCGCAGUACUGUUCAGAGAUAGACCUGAUUGAUCUGAACAAUGAGUUCCAAAAUUUGAAGAAGGGGAGAAUGAGCAUCGAUGACUAUGCUGCUGCAUUUACGGAAAAGAUGAAGUUGUUUCCAUACCUAGUGCCAACCGAACUUUCCAAAAUUGAGAAAUUCGCAAACGGACUGCCGGCUGACUUUGGCCCAACAGUCAAGAUGGCAACCACUCUGAAAUCAGCUGUUCGAGCAGCUAAGAACGUGGAGACCCAACAAAAGGAAAGAGGUCUGGAGAGGGCUGAGGUUGGUGAGAAACGGAAGUUCAAUGGAUCCUCGAAGUCCAACAAGAAGAGUAGAUUCUCGAAGUCUGGUUCGAGGGGAGGAGGAUCAGAAGCGAAGUGGUGUGACAAGUGCAAGAAGAAGCACUCUGGGAAGUGUGACGGAGGGGUCACUUGUUACAAGUGCGGAAAGCCUGGGCACUACGCCAAUGAAUGCACCCUCAACCAGAAAGCCUGUUAUGGGUGCAAUGAAGAAGGGCACAUUUUGAAGGACUGCCCGAAGAAGAAGGAGACAGGAAGACCCAACAUACCACCGAAGCCGAAGGCGAGAGCCUUCCAGAUGACGCUCGAGGCUGCAAAGGAGGCAGCAGACGUCGCUUCAGGUACCUUUCUUGUAAAUGGUUUGCCUGCAAAUAUACUAUUUGAUUCCGGAGCCAACUACUCCUUUGUGUCGCAUAAAUUUGGUGGGAAAUUAGCAUUGCCUGUAGAAAAACUAGAUAAUGCCCUGAUUGUAGAAGUUGCCAGUGGCAAAUUCGUACCUGUUAGUAAUCGUAUUAGGAACAUCGUCAUUGACCUAAACGGAAACGAAUUCCACGAAGAGCUAUUACCCAUAGAGUUAAACGGUUUCGACAUCGUUUUGGGUAUGGAUUGGCUUAGCGCCAACGAUGCUGAGAUUCAAUGCCGAAAGAAGAUAGUAAAGGUAAACCCACCCGGAAAAGAAUCAUUUAUGGUGUAUGGGGACAAACGCAGAGUGAAUUCUGGAAUCAUCUCCCUGAUGAAAGCCAGGAAAUGUUUGUCCAAAGGAUGUGCAUCAUACUUGGCAUUCGUAAUCGAUGCCAAGAAGGAGAAGAAAGAGGUGCAGAAUAUACCGGUUGUGUGUGAUUAUCCGGAAGUCUUUCCCGAAGAUCUUCCCGGAUUACCACCUGAUAGGCAAGUGGAGUUUCGUAUAGACUUGUUACCAGGAACAACACCGAUAGCAAAGGCACCUUACCGAUUAGCACCGACGGAGAUGAAGGAGCUCAUGACGCAACUUCAGGAGCUGUUGGACAACGGUUU